CCGAAAGAUGGUGAACUAUGCCUGAGUAGGGCAAAGUCAGAGGAAACUCUGAUGGAGGCUCGAAGGGGUUCUGACGUGCAAAUCGAUCUUCAAACUUGGGUAUAGGGGCGAAAGACUAAUCGAACCAUCAAGUAGCUGGUUCCCUCCGAAGUUUCCCUCAGGAUAGCUGGAACUUAUGAGAAAGUAGUUUUAUCAGGUAAAGCGAAUGAUUAGAGGCUUUGGGGAAGAAACUUCCUCGACCUAUUCUCAAACUUUAAAUAGGUAAGAUUUGAAGGAUACUUAAGUGAUCUUUCAAUCUCUUGAAUAUAAAGUUCUUAGUGGGCCAUUUUUGGAAGCAGAACUGGCGAUGUGGGAUGAACCGAACGUUAAGUUAAAGUGCCAAAUAAUACGCUCAUGAGAUACCAUAAAAGGUGUGGUUCAUUUGACAGCAGGACGGUGGCCAUGGAAGUCGGAACCCGCUAAGGAGUGUGUAACAACUCACCUG
This 484-nucleotide ribosomal RNA is filed under the name uncultured eukaryote. RNAcentral describes it as "eukaryotic LSU rRNA". It matches the Rfam family "Eukaryotic large subunit ribosomal RNA", at positions 816 to 1296 of the family's 3401-position model. The record is from RNAcentral.